AUCCCUUCAAGCAAAAGUUAAAUUAAAUCGUGGAUCUUUCAAAAUCAACAACAAUGUCGACCUGAGGAUCGUUUGAGACACAAAAGCCUAUCAAACAAACAAAAAUAUGAUAAACAUAGUAAGUGUUCCGAAACAUAAACAGAAAGAGAAAGAAAUCAAAUCACGAAGCAGGCACAUUCAGUUGCCAGAUUCUCACGCACCAUCAAGAUUAAAACUUGAGAAUUAUGAAACAAUCUAAAGGUAUAUCAUAAUUCAAUCAAGACGAUGACGUCUACUCCCCGUACAAACAUCUUCGAUCGGGAUUCUUCACCAAUAAAUGAAUCGGAGAUCUUCUGAUAAGCACCUCUUAAAGCGCUUCAAAAUGAUAGCCGAUUUUGGAAAGAUGAAAAAAACUUUUGUUCGAGAGUACCUGUAUCAAUUUAAUCAUCUGUCGUACAUAUAAAGCAUCAAAUAGCAGAACGCUUCUCCCACACCGCCGAUUUAACUCUACUGCACUGUAGAUCAUCAGUUACUUAGUCCAGCAACCAAAGAGAGAAAAUUAAAAUGGGAUCGAGAGCGGAAACCACAUAACUGAAGUACGAUGACUGACUGUGAUGAAGAAAACUGGAAACUGGAAACAAUAGACGAAGAAGAGAUCAUAGAGGUGAAGAGGAAAGGUCAAUCCAAAUUAAAAUUUUUUUUAGACUUUUCGUUUUUUUUUUUUACAAUUAGAGUGACACGUGUCGCUUUUUUCGGUGAUGACGUGGUAGUAGGAUGGAGAAAGUUUUUUCUCUAGAGCAUCUAGAGAAGAAAC
This 793-nucleotide long non-coding RNA is filed under the name Eutrema salsugineum. RNAcentral's name for it is "long non-coding RNA (ESAL_LNC000887)". The record is from RNAcentral. Lineage: Eukaryota; Viridiplantae; Streptophyta; Magnoliopsida; Brassicales; Brassicaceae.